RNAcentral lists this ribosomal RNA (253 nucleotides) under uncultured bacterium. Its description in RNAcentral is "partial 16S ribosomal RNA". It matches the Rfam family "Bacterial small subunit ribosomal RNA", at positions 524 to 776 of the family's 1533-position model. The record is from RNAcentral.
UACGAAGGGGGCUAGCGUUGCUCGGAAUCACUGGGCGUAAAGGGUGCGUAGGCGGGCCUUUAAGUCAGAGGUGAAAUCCUGGAGCUCAACUCCAGAACUGCCUUUGAUACUGAGGAUCUUGAGUUCGGGAGAGGUGAGUGGAACUGCGAGUGUAGAGGUGAAAUUCGUAGAUAUUCGCAAGAACACCAGUGGCGAAGGCGGCUCUCUGGGACGGUACUGACGCUGAGACGCGAAAGCGUGGGGAGCGAACAGG